UUGAAGAAAACUGAAUUAAAUUAAAGGACCAGAAGACCCUAUAGAGCUCUGUAAAAAUUUUAUAUACUAUAAAUUUACUUACUUAGUUGGGGCGACAAUAGAGUUUCUCCCUCUCUAAACCAGCCCACUAUUUACAAAUUUUUAACUUUCAAUAAAAACUAGAAAAAGCUACCUUAGGGAUAACAGUCUAAUUUUUCUCAAUAGUCCACAUUAACAGAAAAGAUUUGCACCUCGAUGUUGGCUUAGGGAUCCUAUUAACGCAAAAGUUAAUAAAGGUAGGUUUGUUCAACCUAUAUAACCCUACGUGAUC
RNAcentral lists this ribosomal RNA (310 nucleotides) under Protodrilus puniceus. RNAcentral's name for it is "partial large subunit ribosomal RNA". It matches the Rfam family "Bacterial large subunit ribosomal RNA", at positions 2078 to 2605 of the family's 2925-position model. The record is from RNAcentral. Lineage: Eukaryota; Metazoa; Annelida; Polychaeta; Protodrilidae.